Molecule: ribosomal RNA, 113 nt
Filed under: Octodon degus (degu)
Lineage: Eukaryota; Metazoa; Chordata; Mammalia; Rodentia; Octodontidae
Source: RNAcentral
UAAUUCAAGUCUACGUCCUGAACAUGCCCGAUCUCAUCUGAUCUCAGAAGCUAAGCAGGGUCAGGCCUGGUUAGUACUUGGAAGGGAGAAAAUGUAAUUCAGGCUAGUGUUAA